AAAAGAACCACAGGGAUUACCUCAGUAACGGCGAGUGAAGCGGUAACAGCUCAAAUUUGAAAUCUGGCCUCACGGUCCGAGUUGUAAUUUGUAGAGGAUGCUUCGAGCAUGGUCUGGCCUAAGUUCCUUGGAACAGGACGUCAUAGAGGGUGAGAAUCCCGUAUGCGGCCAGGUGCCUACGCUCAUGUGAAGCUCCUUCGACGAGUCGAGUUGUUUGGGAAUGCAGCUCAAAAUGGGUGGUAAAUUUCAUCUAAAGCUAAAUAUUGGCCAGAGACCGAUAGCGCACAAGUAGAGUGAUCGAAAGAUGAAAAGCACUUUGGAAAGAGAGUUAAACAGUACGUGAAAUUGUUGAAAGGGAAGCGCUUGCAACCAGACUUGCGCGCGGCCGAUCAUCCGGUGUUCUCACCGGUGCACUCGGCCGUGCUCAGGCCAGCAUCGGUUUUGGCGGCUGGAUAAAGGCCCUAGGAAUGUAGCUCCUCUCGGGGAGUGUUAUAGCCUAGGGUGCAAUGCAGCCUGCUGGGACCGAGGACCGCGCUUCGGCUAGGAUGCUGGCGUAAUGGUUGUAAGCGGCCCGUCUUGAAACACGGACCAAGGAGUCUAACAUCUAUGCGAGUGUUUGGGUGUCAAACCCAUACGCGUAAUGAAAGUGAACGGAGGUGAGAACCCUUAAGGGUGCAUCAUCGACCGGUCCUGAAGUUUACGGAAGGAUCUGAGUAAGAGCAUAGCUGUUGGGACCCGAAAGAUGGUGAACUAUGCCUGAAUAGGGUGAAGCCAGAGGAAACUCUGGUGGAGGCUCGCAGCGGUUCUGACGUGCAAAUCGAUCGUCAAAUUUGGGUAUAGGGGCGAAAGACUAAUCGAACCAUCUAGUAGCUGGUUCCUGCCGAAGUUUCCC
RNAcentral lists this ribosomal RNA (892 nucleotides) under Aleurodiscus farlowii. RNAcentral describes it as "eukaryotic LSU rRNA". It matches the Rfam family "Eukaryotic large subunit ribosomal RNA", at positions 57 to 972 of the family's 3401-position model. Lineage: Eukaryota; Fungi; Basidiomycota; Agaricomycetes; Russulales; Stereaceae. The record is from RNAcentral.